GAUGAAGAACGUAGCGAAAUGCGAUACGUAAUGUGAAUUGCAGAAUUCAGUGAAUCAUCGAAUCUUUGAACGCAUAUUGCGCUCUCUGGUAUUCCGGAGAGCAUGCUUGUUUGAGUAUCAGUAAACACCUCAACUUCCAUAUCUUUUUUGAAAUGGGAGUUGGACUUGAGUGAUCCCAACGCUUUUCCUCACCGAAAAGUGGCGGGUUACUUGAAAUGCAGGUGCAGCUGGACUUUUCUCUGAGCUAUAAGCAUAUCUAUUUAGUCUGCCUAAAAAACAGAUUAUUACCUUUGCUGCAGCUAACAUAAAGGAGAUUAGUUCUUGUGCUGACUGAUGCAGGAUUCACAAAGACAGGCUUCGGCCGACUUUGUAAACUCGAUCUCAAAUCAAGUAAGACUACCCGCUGAACUUAAGCAUAUCAAUAAGCGAGGA
Molecule: unclassified non-coding RNA, 432 nt
Filed under: soil metagenome
Description: partial contains 5.8S ribosomal RNA, internal transcribed spacer 2, and large subunit ribosomal RNA
Rfam family: 5.8S ribosomal RNA (bases 1-120)
Source: RNAcentral